This 249-nucleotide long non-coding RNA is filed under the name Elaeis guineensis (African oil palm). Its description in RNAcentral is "long non-coding RNA (EGUI_LNC015425)". Lineage: Eukaryota; Viridiplantae; Streptophyta; Magnoliopsida; Arecales; Arecaceae. The record is from RNAcentral.
UUCUUCUUAAGGAUGUGAGAGAAAGAGAGAAAGGUUCUCUCUUGUGCACGAAAAAAUUGAGAAGAAAGGGUUCUUCUCUUGAUCUCUAUUAUAGAGAUCAGAUGCAUGGAUCUAGAAAGAAAAGGAGAGGAUCUUCUUAUUCUUCAUCUUCAUCAUGUUCUUCUUAGAUUAGCCAAAGGAUGGUGUCUUCACGAGCUAGCACUCCCGAGAAGAUCGAUCAGCACAAGGGCUUCGUGUGGAUACCCGUAG